RNAcentral lists this unclassified non-coding RNA (421 nucleotides) under soil metagenome. RNAcentral's name for it is "partial contains 5.8S ribosomal RNA, internal transcribed spacer 2, and large subunit ribosomal RNA". The stretch from base 1 to 120 matches the Rfam family "5.8S ribosomal RNA", at positions 35 to 154 of the family's 154-position model. The record is from RNAcentral.
GAUGAAGAACGUAGCGAAAUGCGAUACGUAAUGUGAAUUGCAGAAUUCAGUGAAUCAUCGAAUCUUUGAACGCAUAUUGCGCUCUUUGGUAUUCCGAAGAGCAUGCUUGUUUGAGUAUCAGUAAACACCUCAACCUCUUCUUGAUUUUUCAAAAGGAGGGUGGCCUUGAGCUAUCCCAACAACCUUUACCGGUCGGCGGGCGGCUUGAAAUGCAGGUGCAGCUGGACUUUUAUCUGAGCUAAAAGCAUAUCUAUUUAGUCCUCGUCAAACAGGAUUAUUACUUUUGCUGCAGCUAACAUAAAGGAUAAUUGUCCUCUUUGCUGACUGAUGCAGGAUUUUACGACACUUUAUGUGUUGUUCAACUCGAUCUCAAAUCAAGUAAGACUACCCGCUGAACUUAAGCAUAUCAAUAAGCGGAGGA